GCAAGAGAAGAAUUCCACAGCGUCAAUCCCCUUGUUGAUUCAGUCUGCUUCCUUCAAUUAUUUAACAGGAAACUCUUGGACAAUCAACACAUGCAGACAAACUUCUCUUGUUCAUUUUUCCCCCGGCCCCAGAAUGGACAGAACUAAAGUAUAGGGAGCAGAGGAUUAACAAGUAGGAGACACCAUGCCGACUUUAAAAUUUCUUAUACUUUUGUGGAUAUGUGAUCAUGGUCUCAGUCAAGAACUCUCUGCCCUUGAAAAAGCAACACGAACAGAUUGUACAGUGAAGAGACCUACCUCUUCAUCCAAGACAUCAAACCAUCCUAAAAUAGUCUGUUCUNGUAACUGUGACUGUUUUUUACUGGAUAUGUGGGUUGCUUUUAAUUUUCA
Molecule: long non-coding RNA, 390 nt
Filed under: Salvator merianae (Argentine black and white tegu)
Lineage: Eukaryota; Metazoa; Chordata; Lepidosauria; Squamata; Teiidae
Description: lncRNA (ENSSMRG00000018316.1)
Source: RNAcentral